Molecule: long non-coding RNA, 199 nt
Filed under: Lathyrus oleraceus (garden pea)
Lineage: Eukaryota; Viridiplantae; Streptophyta; Magnoliopsida; Fabales; Fabaceae
Description: Pisum sativum (pea) long non-coding RNA (PSAT_LNC020635)
Source: RNAcentral
CUCUCCUAAUUCAAUAUGGUAUCUAGAGCCUACUAAGAGACAACUUUUCGCCGUGCUUUACCCGGUUGACCCACUGUCUUCCGGUGAUAAUUUUUUUUGCAAACCGUGUCAUCACUCCGGUUUGCCUCUAACUUCUCAAAAUUCUCAGGUAAAACCAUCUUGCCGCCCGAUCCGGCCGUUUUUCCCAGCCGCCCCACUC